Molecule: ribosomal RNA, 253 nt
Filed under: uncultured bacterium
Lineage: Bacteria
Description: partial 16S ribosomal RNA
Rfam family: Bacterial small subunit ribosomal RNA
Source: RNAcentral
UACAGAGAAAACAAGCGUUGUUCGGAAUUACUGGGCAUAAAAGGCUCGUAAGUGGCCAACUAAGUCAUACGUGAAAUCCCUCGGCUUAACCGGGGAACUGCGUCUGAUACUGGAUGGCUUGAGUUUGGGAGAGGGAUGCGGAAUUCCAGGUGUAGCGGUGAAAUACGUAGAUAUCUGGAAGAACACCGGUGGCGAAGGCGGCAUCCUGGACCAACACUGACACUGAUGAGCGAAAGCCAGGGGAGCAAACGGG